This 252-nucleotide ribosomal RNA is filed under the name uncultured bacterium. RNAcentral's name for it is "partial 16S ribosomal RNA". It matches the Rfam family "Bacterial small subunit ribosomal RNA", at positions 524 to 776 of the family's 1533-position model. The record is from RNAcentral.
UACGGAGGAUGCGAGCGUUAUCCGGAUUUAUUGGGUUUAAAGGGUGCGUAGGCGGAGCGUUAAGUCAGUGGUCAAAUUGAGGGGCUCAACCCCUUCCCGCCAUUGAAACUGGCGCUCUUGAGUGGAAGAGAAGUAUGCGGAAUGCGUGGUGUAGCGGUGAAAUGCUUAGAUAUCACGAAGAACUCCGAUUGCGAAGGCAGCUCACUGGACUGCAACUGACACUGAUGCUCGAAAGUGUGGGUAUCAAACAGG